RNAcentral lists this ribosomal RNA (1324 nucleotides) under bacterium. RNAcentral describes it as "bacterial SSU rRNA". It matches the Rfam family "Bacterial small subunit ribosomal RNA", at positions 115 to 1453 of the family's 1533-position model. The record is from RNAcentral.
ACGUGUGCAACCUGCCUUUAUCUGGGGGAUAGCCUUUCUAAAGGAAGAUUAAUACCCCAUAAUAUACUGAAUGGCAUCAUUCGGUAUUGAAAACUCCGGUGGAUAGAGAUGGGCACGCGCAAGAUUAGAUAGUUGGUGAGGUAACGGCUCACCAAGUCUACGAUCUUUAGGGGGCCUGAGAGGGUGAUCCCCCACACUGGUACUGAGACACGGACCAGACUCCUACGGGAGGCAGCAGUGAGGAAUAUUGGACAAUGGGUGAGAGCCUGAUCCAGCCAUCCCGCGUGAAGGACGACGGCCCUAUGGGUUGUAAACUUCUUUUGUAUAGGGAUAAACCUACCCUCGUGAGGGUAGCUGAAGGUACUAUACGAAUAAGCACCGGCUAACUCCGUGCCAGCAGCCGCGGUAAUACGGAGGGUGCAAGCGUUAUCCGGAUUUAUUGGGUUUAAAGGGUCCGUAGGCGGAUCUGUAAGUCAGUGGUGAAAUCUCACAGCUUAACUGUGAAACUGCCAUUGAUACUGCAGGUCUUGAGUGUUGUUGAAGUAGCUGGAAUAAGUAGUGUAGCGGUGAAAUGCAUAGAUAUUACUUAGAACACCAAUUGCGAAGGCAGGUUACUAAGCAACAACUGACGCUGAUGGACGAAAGCGUGGGGAGCGAACAGGAUUAGAUACCCUGGUAGUCCACGCCGUAAACGAUGCUAACUCGUUUUUGGAAUGUAAGUUUCAGAGACUAAGCGAAAGUGAUAAGUUAGCCACCUGGGGAGUACGAACGCAAGUUUGAAACUCAAAGGAAUUGACGGGGGCCCGCACAAGCGGUGGAUUAUGUGGUUUAAUUCGAUGAUACGCGAGGAACCUUACCAAGGCUUAAAUGGGAAAUGACAGGUUUAGAAAUAGACUUUUCUUCGGACAUUUUUCAAGGUGCUGCAUGGUUGUCGUCAGCUCGUGCCGUGAGGUGUUAGGUUAAGUCCUGCAACGAGCGCAACCCCUGUCACUAGUUGCCAUCAUUAAGUUGGGGACUCUAGUGAGACUGCCUACGCAAGUAGAGAGGAAGGUGGGGAUGACGUCAAAUCAUCACGGCCCUUACGCCUUGGGCCACACACGUAAUACAAUGGCCGGUACAGAGGGCAGCUACACUGCGAAGUGAUGCAAAUCUCGAAAGCCGGUCUCAGUUCGGAUUGGAGUCUGCAACUCGACUCUAUGAAGCUGGAAUCGCUAGUAAUCGCGCAUCAGCCAUGGCGCGGUGAAUACGUUCCCGGGCCUUGUACACACCACCGGUCAAGCCAUGGAAGUCUGGGGUACCUGAAGUCGGUGACCGUAACAGGAGC